This 424-nucleotide ribosomal RNA is filed under the name uncultured cyanobacterium. RNAcentral's name for it is "bacterial SSU rRNA". It matches the Rfam family "Bacterial small subunit ribosomal RNA", at positions 356 to 795 of the family's 1533-position model. Lineage: Bacteria; Bacillati; Cyanobacteriota. The record is from RNAcentral.
GGGGAAUUUUCCGCAAUGGGCGAAAGCCUGACGGAGCAAUACCGCGUGAGGGAUGAAGGCCUAUGGGUUGUAAACCUCUUUUUUCAGGGAGGAAUCAAUGACGUGUACUUGAAGAAUAAGCAUCGGCUAACUCCGUGCCAGCAGCCGCGGUAAGACGGAGGAUGCAAGUGUUAUCCGGAAUCACUGGGCGUAAAGCGUCUGUAGGUGGUCAAAUAAGUCAACUGUUAAAUCUUGAGGCUCAACCUCAAAAUCGCAGUCGAAACUAUUAGACUAGAGUAUAGUAGGGGUAAAGGGAAUUUCCAGUGGAGCGGUGAAAUGCGUAGAUAUUGGAAGGAACACCGAUGGCGAAGGCACUUUACUGGGCUAUUACUAACACUCAGAGACGAAGCUAGGGUAGCAAAUGGGAUUAGAUACCCCAGUAGUC